GGGCCCGCACAAGCGGUGGAGUAUGUGGUUUAAUUCGAUGCAACGCGAAGAACCUUACCAGGGUUUGACAUCCUGCGAAUCUCUUGGAAACGAGAGAGUGCCUUCGGGAACGCAGUGACAGGUGGUGCAUGGCUGUCGUCAGCUCGUGUCGUGAGAUGUUGGGUUAAGUCCCGCAACGAGCGCAACCCACGUCUUUAGUUGCCAGCAGUUCGGCUGGGCACUCUAGAGAAACUGCCUGGGAUGACCAGGAGGAAGGCGAGGAUGACGUCAAGUCCUCAUGGCCCUUAUGGGCUGGGCUACACACGUGCUACAAUGGCGGUUACAAUGGGAAGCAAUAGGGUGACCUGGAGCUAAUCCCCAAAGGCCGUCUCAGUUCGGAUUGUUCUCUGCAACUCGAGAACAUGAAGUCGGAAUCGCUAGUAAUCG
RNAcentral lists this ribosomal RNA (426 nucleotides) under uncultured bacterium. RNAcentral's name for it is "bacterial SSU rRNA". It matches the Rfam family "Bacterial small subunit ribosomal RNA", at positions 917 to 1344 of the family's 1533-position model. The record is from RNAcentral.